UAAGCAUAUCAAUAAGCGGAGGAAAAGAAACCAACAGGGAUUGCCUCAGUAACGGCGAGUGAAGCGGCAACAGCUCAAAUUUGAAAUCUGGCCCCCCUUGGGGGUCCGAGUUGUAAUUUGGAGAGGAUGUUUCUGGCGCGGCGCCUUCCGGAGUUCCUUGGAACAGGACGCCACAGAGGGUGAGAGCCCCGUACGGUCGGCCGCCUAGCCUCCACGAAACUCCUUCGACGAGUCGAGUAGUUUGGGAAUGCUGCUCAAAAUGGGAGGUAAAUUUCUUCUAAAGCUAAAUACUGGCCAGAGACCGAUAGCGCACAAGUAGAGUGAUCGAAAGAUGAAAAGCACCUUGAAAAGAGGGUUAAACAGUACGUGAAAUUGUUGAAAGGGAAGCGCCUGCGACCAGACUCGCGCCCCGCGGACCAGCCGGCGUUCUCGCCGGUGCACUCCGCGGGGGGCGGGCCAGCAUCGGUUUUCCCCGGGGGAGAAAGGCCGCGGGAACGUAGCUCCUUCGGGAGUGUUAUAGCCCGUGGCGCCAUGCCCCAGGGGGGACCGAGGACCGCGCUCGGCAAGAUGCGCAAU
Molecule: ribosomal RNA, 576 nt
Filed under: Ceratocystiopsis minima
Lineage: Eukaryota; Fungi; Ascomycota; Sordariomycetes; Ophiostomatales; Ophiostomataceae
Description: eukaryotic LSU rRNA
Rfam family: Eukaryotic large subunit ribosomal RNA
Source: RNAcentral